GACGAACGCUGGCGGCGUGCUUAACACAUGCAAGUCGAGCGGUAAGGCCCUUUCGGGGUACGACGAGCGGCGAACGGGUGGAGUAACACGUGGGUGGACCUCGCCCUCCAGCUCUGGGAGUAAGCCCGGGAAACCGUAGGGUCGUAAUACCGGAGUAUGACUUCAUGACGCAUGUUGUGGAGUGGAAAGCCUUGUGCGGCUGAGGAUGGGCCCGCGGCCUAUCAGCUUGUUGGUGGGGUGANGGCCUACCAAGGCGACGACGGGUAGCCGGCCUGAGAGGGCGACCGGCCACACU
This 295-nucleotide ribosomal RNA is filed under the name uncultured bacterium. RNAcentral's name for it is "partial 16S ribosomal RNA". It matches the Rfam family "Bacterial small subunit ribosomal RNA", at positions 28 to 314 of the family's 1533-position model. The record is from RNAcentral.